This 801-nucleotide ribosomal RNA is filed under the name uncultured Gemmatimonadota bacterium. RNAcentral's name for it is "bacterial SSU rRNA". It matches the Rfam family "Bacterial small subunit ribosomal RNA", at positions 76 to 864 of the family's 1533-position model. Lineage: Bacteria; Pseudomonadati; Gemmatimonadota. The record is from RNAcentral.
GCCUUCGGGCCGUCAGUGGCGGACGGGUGCGUAACACGUAAGCGACCUGCCUUCAGGUGGGGGAUAACCCCGGGAAACCGGGGCUAAUACCGCAUGUGCUCUUUGGACUGCAUGGUCUAGAGAGGAAAGCUCCUUCACAGGAGCGCUUGAAGAGGGGCUUGCGGCGUAUCAGCUAGUUGGCGAGGUAACGGCUCACCAAGGCGACGACGCGUAGGGGGUCUGAGAGGACGGCCCCCCACAUUGGGACUGAGAUACGGCCCAGACUCCUACGGGAGGCAGCAGUGGGGAAUCUUGCGCAAUGGUCUAACGACUGACGCAGCGACGCCGCGUGCGGGAGGAAGGUCUUCGGAUCGUAAACCGCUGUCGGGAGGGAAGAAGCGGCCCGGGGGGAAAUACCCGGGCUCUGACGGUACCUCCAAAGGAAGCACCGGCUAACUCCGUGCCAGCAGCCGCGGUAAUACGGAGGGUGCAAGCGUUGUUCGGAAUUAUUGGGCGUAAAGCGCGCGCAGGCGGUCGAAAAAGUCUAUGGGUCAAAGGCCGGGGCUCAACCCCGCGUACGCCCAGGAUACUCUUCGACUGGAGACACGUAGAGGCAAGCGGAAUUCCGGGUGUAGCGGUGGAAUGCGUAGAGAUCCGGAAGAACACCGGAGGCGAAGGCGGCUUGCUGGGCGUGAUCUGACGCUGAGGCGCGAAAGCGUGGGGAGCGAACAGGAUUAGAUACCCUGGUAGUCCACGCUGUAAACGAUGGGCACUGGAUGCGGGGGGGAUCGGCCCUCUCCGUGUCGCAGCUUACGCGUUAAG